Molecule: long non-coding RNA, 794 nt
Organism: Rhododendron vialii
Lineage: Eukaryota; Viridiplantae; Streptophyta; Magnoliopsida; Ericales; Ericaceae
Exons: 6
Source: RefSeq, a predicted model, not a curated record
CCUCUUUUACCUUCCACGAUCUCUCUCUCUCUCUCUCUCUCUCUCUCUCUCAACCAAUUGUACGAGCGCCGUUCAUUGAUCUUGACAGCGUUAAGAGGCAGGAGAAGCCCGUCACUGUGAUUUGCCAUUGAUUGAUCUUGGUCAUCGGCCACUUGCUCCGCUGUUGCUUUGGUCAUCGAUUGACUUGAAAUCAAACAGAGGUCUCGUCUGGAUUGUCAAGAUCAAUUAUCUAAGUUGAGCUUAUUGUUGAUCUGUUUAAUGGGCGCUUGUGUUCUCCCGAUUGCCGCCGACAACUCCACCUCUCUCUACCAGUUCAAUGUGUUCAACUCUUGCUGGCCGUGAGUUAGUUGCAGUUUGAUAGGUCACAUACCAAGACUAGUAUAGACUAGCUGCGAUGAGGCAUUGGUGACAUAACAACUCAAAUAUAGGGAAACUGGGGCAACAUAUUAUGCAGGAACAUGUUGUAGGAGCAAUGCUUUUUGAGGUAUGCUUUCAAUGAUGAAAAGACUUCUUUUGUCCAAGGGAGAAAGGAAAGAAGAAGUUACUGGAGAAGUUGUCAUCACAGGUCUUAGUGCGUCUUCCAGACUUUUUCGGCUGAAGGAAUGCAAAAAAUUUUAGGUUGAGGGAAGCUGGAUUAGCUCGGUGAAUCAUUAUGUAGGGGAAUUUAUUUGUAUUUCGUACAUACUUUUCGUGUCGAAAGAUAACUUGAACACGUGUAUUAGAGAGUGUUUGUAAUUUUAUAAUUUUCAAUAUAUAGACUCUUUUUUACAUUAGUGGAUGACUUUAUCUUUUUU